GGAAUAUUGGGCAAUGGAGGAAACUCUGACCCAGCGACGCCGCGUGCGGGAUGAAGGCCUUCGGGUUGUAAACCGCUUCCAGUAGGGAAGAAGCGAAAGUGACGGUACCUACAAAAGAAGCACCGGCUAACUAUGUGCCAGCAGCCGCGGUAAUACAUAGGGUGCAAGCGUUGUCCGGAAUUAUUGGGCGUAAAGAGCUCGUAGGUCGUUCGUUACGUCGGAUGUGAAAACCUGAGGCUCAACCUCAGGCCUGCAUUCGAUACGGGCAAACUAGAGUUUGGUAGGGGAGACUGGAAUUCCUGGUGUAGCGGUGGAAUGCGCAGAUAUCAGGAGGAACACCAAUGGCGAAGGCAGGUCUCUGGGCCAAUACUGACACUGAGGAGCGAAAGUCUGGGGAGCAAACAGGAUUAGAUACCCUGGUAGUCCAGACCGUAAACGGUGGGCACUAGUUGUGGGAACCUUCCACGGUUUCUGCGACGCAGCUAACGCAUUAAGUGCCCCGCCUGGGGAGUACGAUCGCAAGAUUAAAACUCAAAUGAAUUGACGG
This 547-nucleotide ribosomal RNA is filed under the name uncultured bacterium. RNAcentral's name for it is "bacterial SSU rRNA". It matches the Rfam family "Bacterial small subunit ribosomal RNA", at positions 358 to 916 of the family's 1533-position model. The record is from RNAcentral.